GAUGAACGCUGGCGGCGUGCCUAAUACAUGCAAGUCGAGCGAACAGACGAGGAGCUUGCUUCUCUGACGUUAGCGGCGGACGGGUGAGUAACACGUGGAUAACCUACCUAUAAGACUGGGAUAACUUCGGGAAACCGGAGCUAAUAACGGAUAAUAUAUUGAACCGCAUGGUUCAAUAGUCAAAGACGGUUUUGCUGUCACUUAUACAUGGAUCCGCGCCGCAUUAGCUAGUUGGUAAGGUAACGGCUUACCAAGGCGACGAUGCGUAGCCGACCUGAGAGGGUGAUCGGCCACACUGGAACUGAGACACGGUCCAGACUCCUACGGGAGGCAGCAGUAGGGAAUCUUCCGCAAUGGGCGAAAGCCUGACGGAGCAACGCCGCGUGAGUGAUGAAGGUCUUCGGAUCGUAAAACUCUGUUAUUAGGGAAGAACAAAUGUGUAAGUAACUAUGCACGUCUUGACGGUACCUAAUCAGAAAGCCACGGCUAACUACGUG
This 497-nucleotide ribosomal RNA is filed under the name uncultured bacterium. RNAcentral describes it as "partial 16S ribosomal RNA". It matches the Rfam family "Bacterial small subunit ribosomal RNA", at positions 28 to 507 of the family's 1533-position model. The record is from RNAcentral.